UAAGUUUAAUACGGAACGGCACCAGGGUCAACUCAAGACAGAUUGUUAUUCAAACUAUUCCGUUCAAGAUAAAUCAGAGUUGUUUUUGUUUUUAAAAUGGGAUUGUGUGCGCGAGUUGUUGAGGGAGAUGGGAAGGGACUAUGUUGUCCAGGCGGAAGGUGAGGUAUAUAUUUCCGGUUCCGGCGGGUCACUCCUUUCAGUCUCCUCGAUCUCCGGGUGGCGACGGUAGCAGUGACCAAGUCAGUUUGUGUGGCAUUUUGGCCCAGCAAAACAAUGGUGGCCAAACAGAGGAUCCGGAUGGCAAAUGAGAAACACAGUAAAAACAUCACGCAGCGAGGGAAUGUUCCGAAAAGUUCGAAAACAACACCAGAUGAAAAAUCAUCGGUCGGUCCCUGGCUCUUGGCACUUUUCAUUUUUGUUGUUUGUGGAUCAGCUAUCUUCCAGAUUAUUCAGAGUAUUCGGAUGGGCAUGUGAAAUGGACAAAAUUCAAAUCUCUGUACCUUUCUAAGUGUCUUGCUGUUAAUUCCAGCUGUGAGUCUGACCAUUCCAACACUUCCUUUGUCUUACAAACGAUGGAUUUUACAGAAUUGAUCUUUCUGUAAUUGUUUUUGAAGAAACUUUUAAUUCCAUGGUGUUGCUAAAAGUCUAGUUCAUUCCUUCGUGUGUCCCAAGAAGGCAAGGAUACAGUAAAAAGCCAUCCAGCAGUUUAAUUUUGUAUUUUAAUCAGGGAAAUAGUUUGUAAGAUCAUAUUUAAUGUGAAUACUUUAUCAUUAUAUAUAGUCGGUAUGUAGGUAAGAACCCUUUUGGUGUAUUUGGAUUUUUCCCCAUUCUUUCACAAAUCCUUUAAAAUUGUAGAGAAGGUGGUUCUGCUCCCUGUCCAAUUUGAGAUACAAAAUGUGCAUCUUUCUAAAUUAAAUUUAUAAUUCCGGAAAAGUGCCUUCUUUUGUAUAUUAAAAUGUACAACCAUUUUAGGACUUAGGCGGGAAUGCUUCUCUGAUUUUAGAACGUGAAUUGAUUUUGUUUUUUUUUUUUGUCGAAAUAAGGGUGAUCAAUCUCUAAUGUCUUAAAAUGUUUGUGUCUGAUCGAUCUAAUAACUUGCUCCGAUUUUUUUAGGGAGGGAAGAGGAGAAUGGUUGUGGGGUGGGUUCUGUUUUAGGAGGACCUGAGGCAGUUUGGGUGCUGAACACGUUCGCCUACAUGCUUAGAGUCGACAGCUCCUCUUGAGGGGCAGGAGCAGCCAGUUCAAAGUUGUGUCCGCAGUGGUAACUGAAAUGGGCAAAAUAUAAGAAAGCUUCUCCAUUGCCAACACUGUACUGUCCGAUAAUGUUGUAAAUCAUGGCAUGCUGAUAUCUCCACAUUUCUUGACUGCUUGGUUGCUGCUCUGUCUUAUCAGGUCCAGUCGAUUUGUGUUUGACUGUAAGCAGCUGCAGCAUUUGUUGCCCAAAUAAAUAUAUUUUUGCUUGA
Long non-coding RNA from Carcharodon carcharias (great white shark), 1463 nucleotides. RefSeq lists it as uncharacterized. The record is from RefSeq and is a predicted model, not a curated record. The transcript has 4 exons. NCBI's taxonomy places the organism in Eukaryota, Metazoa, Chordata, Chondrichthyes, Lamniformes, Lamnidae.